RNAcentral lists this ribosomal RNA (409 nucleotides) under uncultured bacterium. Its description in RNAcentral is "bacterial SSU rRNA". It matches the Rfam family "Bacterial small subunit ribosomal RNA", at positions 355 to 776 of the family's 1533-position model. RNAcentral also lists the same sequence under 1 other name. The record is from RNAcentral.
UGGGGAAUAUUGCGCAAUGGGCGAAAGCCUGACGCAGCGACGCCGCGUGAGGGAUGAAGGCCUUCGGGUUGUAAACCUCUUUCAGCAGGGACGAAGCGAGAGUGACGGUACCUGCAGAAGAAGCACCGGCCAACUACGUGCCAGCAGCCGCGGUAAUACGUAGGGUGCAAGCGUUGUCCGGAAUUAUUGGGCGUAAAGAGCUCGUAGGCGGUCUGUCGCGUCGGCUGUGAAAACUCGGGGCUCAACCCCGAGCCUGCAGUCGAUACGGGCAGACUAGAGUGCUGUAGGGGAGACUGGAAUUCCUGGUGUAGCGGUGAAAUGCGCAGAUAUCAGGAGGAACACCGGUGGCGAAGGCGGGUCUCUGGGCAGUAACUGACGCUGAGGAGCGAAAGCGUGGGGAGCAAACAGG